Molecule: long non-coding RNA, 3628 nt
Organism: Prinia subflava (tawny-flanked prinia)
Lineage: Eukaryota; Metazoa; Chordata; Aves; Passeriformes; Cisticolidae
Exons: 5
Source: RefSeq, a predicted model, not a curated record
UUUGGAUUAGACAAGUCACUUAGAGGUUGUUCCAGCCUAAAUCAUCCCAGAAUUUUAUUGUUUUUUAUUAAGGCUGAAGCCACACCGACUUUGGUUGCAUUAAUAGAAUUUGUGAAGGAAAAGGAAAGGAUUCCUUUUGCUUCUGAAAUCCUUCCGCAUGCAAGCUGCUACUGGUUGCAGUAGGAAGUCUGCAUAUAUGCAGUUGUCAUAAUCACUAUUUUCAGAUUUCUGAGGAUUCCCUCCCUUGAGCUGAACUUCUGAAGGUGUGAUUCCUAACACCUGCCACGACUGUCACUUCUCUGUCCUCGCUGCAAGUCCCUGGGUCCUUACAGAGCCACCAGCUCUUGUUUAUUCCUUGGAGAAAACCUGGAAUUAGGAGCCAGCUCUUUAACAUUUACCACCACCACUAAUCUAAUUUCAUUAUUUCAUUACUUUCAGUGGAAUUCCUUGUGAGGGUAGAGAGUGGCCAGCAUUGGUUAGGUAUGCAAGUUUAGGAUCCAGAUUUUAUACAGAAGUGUCUGUGACACUUAAAACCCUCAGAUUAUGGUAGAUCUGCUUCUUUUUUUUUUUUUUUUUGGUAGGAGCUCUGGAAAAAUGAGAACAAACCCAAGAGAUUGUAGAAGGAUAGUAUAAUAUGUCCAUCCUGCAAACAUAUGUAGGAUUCAUCUGUCAUUUCCCUGCAGCAGACUGCUCAGUGUUAACACUCUCGGGCUAUUGGCUUCUACAGCUGGACUGAAGCAGGUUUUCAUAUGACAGGAAUUAUAAUACUCCUUCUAGGUUUUUUUUUUUCCUUCUUGGAAUUAGAUGCACCCAGUUGGAAACCUCUGAAUCCACAGCAAGACUGUAGCUGUUUUUUCCACAUUAAUGAGUAAUUAAUUUUGAACUGCAAUCCAAAGAAAUAUUUAAUUGCUUACCAAUAAAAUCAGCUUCAGCAAAGAAAAAUCUCCUUUUAAAAAAAUAGUUUUCAUGACAGAAAAAUUAUUUACGAUGUGAAACAUAACUAUUUUAGGACAGUGAAAACUUUAAUUAAAUUAUUCUUAUAGGCAAGUGGGUCUGCUUUUCCCAUUUUUUGCCCAAUAUUUUACUACUGCAACAUUAGCAUUAGUCACAGAGUUAUGUCUCUGCUUAGCUUGCCAGAAUGUAAGGGAGAAAUCCAAAUGUAAAGAGAGAUCUUGUGGAAACUUCCUGAAAUCCGAGAGGGACUGAGUGCCUGUUUUACUGCAGCCCAAAGAGCUCCAGAUCCACCACAGACACCCAGGCAGUGACAUCUCCACACACCCACCUGGUGCAUUUGACUUUUCCAUAUAUCAUUACAGGUACAUCUUAUCAUACACAAGUCAGCUUGGCUUCAACAAUUCGGAACGAGCCCCCACAAAAAGCAGAUUUAUUUUGGUGUUUCUUUCAAUUACAACGGGUAACAUUUUUCUCGUUUCUUCUUGGUGGUUCUUUGGAUGUUGUCCUCAGCCAGGCACCAUUAGUGGUGACCUUGCUGCUGAUUACACAGGGUGAUCCCCUAUAUGGAUCUAGUUGUGAUUUCACACAGUUGGUUUGUUUUAUUUUACACAACUGCCUUCAGUGCAGGCAUUUCUGGUUUCAUUUAAUAAUUACUGUCAGGGUUUUACAGCCUUAUUGGUACAAGAGACUCGAAAGUGCUCAAGCCACAUAAGCUGCAUACAAAACAUUUCUUUUUACAAACUUUUUUUUCUAGAGAAUGUGGUUUAAAUAACAGUCAUAUACAUAGUUCCCUGGGAGAACCUUCCCAUUUUUGUUUGUUACAAAAGGCUCUGUUUUGCAUUAAGAAAUGUAUUCUUUUGAUCAAGGUGCAAAUCGACUGUUUCUCCUGCUCUUCCAACAGUAAAUAUACACUUAAAUUCCAGAAAUUCCAAAACCUCGUGUACCUGCAGAUGGCUGAUUUUUUACACCCCCUUCCUCAUGCUGUGAAAUGUCUCUUUGAUUCCCGACGUUCUUCGGGAUUCCAAAUCCUUCCUGCCUGUCUCCAAAGCUCUCAAAGUGCCCUCAGUGCCCGGGGCUGUGCAGAGCCCACACCCGCCUGGCUCUCCUUGCUGUCCCAGCUUUGUCUCCCCUCAGAACACCUCGCGGUAUUUUUUCAUAUAAACAAAUGCAACAAAUGAAUCAGCCAAAUCUCAAAAAAAAAAAGGAAAAAAAAAAAGGGAUAACAAUUUUCGCCUUACAAUGCACAGCACCUGGCGUACUCCAAGGGAACGCUGUGAAGGGAGACGGAAAAUCAGAAUCCCGAUUUAUUUCCUUGGAGUUUUGGGAGCGACUUGCGGCGAUGAGGGAGCGGGGCCGGCCCCCCGCUAGGGGGCGCUGGCGAGGCCGCGGCCAUGGCGCUCCCGCCCGUGAGGGAGCGGGGACUGCCCGCGCUGCCCGCGCUGCCCGCGGCUGUCGGGCCCGCCUCGGCUCUGCGCCGAGGGACUGUUCUUCCACGCCGCUGGGCACACAGCCUUGGCGGUGCUGAGAGGCAGAUUUCCAUGGAGAAGGUUAUCCCGUGGUCCCUUGGUGUUUGAUAAGCAGCAGCCCUCUGACAGAGCUCCGAGGAAGGUGCACCAGGCCAAGCUAGUGAUGGUGGCAGGAUGGCAGUGAGUGAUAACUACAGCUAAAACCGAGUUUGGGACAGCAUUUAUGUUUUUCUUACAGGUCUCUCUGGGCAGGCACACGGCCCCUCCUUUGAGAGGCAGUGGUGUCAGUACUUCUGAGUGCCAGUCCAGCCCUCAUGGAAACCCAAAUGGAAGAGCUGCUCACCUAUUUCUGCAGAUGGACACACAAUAUCCACCCCAGGAUCCAGCACCACAUUAUCCUUAUGCAUGUAACUGCUGAAGUCAUUUCCACUCAGAACUCUUGGGAAGCUGACACCAACAGACAACUGCCUUUGCUGAGUUAUAACCAAAAACAAGCAAUUUGUCCCUACGGAAGGCCACAUAUGGAAACAGCUUCCCUGGAGUGGAGUGGUAAAACAACUUCAACGGAGCUGCUGUUGUUAAGAGAACUUUGUAAGGUAAUUCUUGGGUUGAACUGCUACUCACUAAUCCUUUUAACCCUUCCACUUACUCUUGCUAUUUGGAGUGUAGCAUUUACGCUUACACUACAUAAAGCUACUCUUGGAAUCUGGGGUGCUCAUUCUCCUUCUUAAAUACCCUCCAGGAAGAUACAGCCAUCCCAACAAGUGUCUCAGCUUCAACUACAAAGAACAAAUGUUCAGUUUCAAAAGGGCUUCAGGAUGGUGAGAGCUAUUAUACCAACUGAGAAGGCCACUUACGGGAUCUCCCAGACAUCUGGCCCCAAUCUGUCACUGCUUAAUCCUACAAUCCCAAACAUUCUGUGGACGUUUGAUGCCUGGGAUAACUGUAACAAACGCUGCAUGAUCCUCAAAGUCUGUAAAUGUCAACAGAGCUCUUAAAACAAGUUUCAUCAAUAAAAAAAAAUAAUUAUAUUGCAAUUACUACUUUUGUCUUUGCUGUGAGAUCGUUAAUGCUGCGCACACCCAAGCACAGACACAAAACAAUGCCACAUGAUUACAGGAAGAACACAAUGCAGUUAUUGGGUUUUGUAACUACUGCUGCUUUCAGAACACAGCUUCUACCAAGAAAAAAUACCUCGUAGAAAUUUA